UACGUAGGGGGCAAGCGUUUGUCCGGAAUUAUUGGGCGUAAAGAGCUCGUAGGCGGUUUGUCGCGUCUGCCGUGAAAGUCCGGGGCUCAACUCCGGAUCUGCGGUGGGUACGGGCAGACUAGAGUGAUGUAGGGGAGACUGGAAUUCCUGGUGUAGCGGUGAAAUGCGCAGAUAUCAGGAGGAACACCGAUGGCGAAGGCAGGUCUCUGGGCAUUAACUGACGCUGAGGAGCGAAAGCAUGGGGAGCGAACAGG
This 254-nucleotide ribosomal RNA is filed under the name uncultured bacterium. RNAcentral describes it as "partial 16S ribosomal RNA". It matches the Rfam family "Bacterial small subunit ribosomal RNA", at positions 524 to 776 of the family's 1533-position model. The record is from RNAcentral.